CUGCCCACUCUAUCUUUCCUCUCUCCCUCACGUUUCCUCUUAUACACACCCACACACUACACUCUCCCACACGUUUCUCUCUCACAUGUUACUUUGACAGGUACUUUGACAGGAUAAAGAAAGAAACAAAAACAAGAAAUAAAAGGACACUCCUCUUCUUCUUGAAAAAGGAGGCUUCCCACACACCUCUCACCCUCUCUACACUCAGUAAGGAAAAACAAAAAAGAACUUUUAAAAAAGAAUACGAACUCUCUCCUCUCACAAACAAGCUUUGACCUCAAAUCCCAUCUUCCUCACUCAAAUCACUACCUCCCACUUCCUACAGCCAACACACUGUAAAAUCCCACCGGAACUUCAUCCCAACAACCUCCGCCAUCGCCGCGUCAAACACCAUAAACCCACUAACCUCCGUCACCACGCCGCAAACAACCGAAAUCUUCCAUCAACAAUAGCCUCAUCUCUGAUCUUUUUCUCACCGGACACUUUCGACCGCCACCGCGAAGCUUUGCUCGCUCCUUCAACAACACCGUCCUCCAAAGCAUCUCACCUCCAAGCUCUGUCGAACACCCCUUUCAACCCUCGGAAAACCCUCUUCUGGAACCAAAAACAGCAAUAACAGCAUUACAACUCGACUUCGAUUAAAGUAACGACGUCAAUUGUAACAGGCAUCUCUUGUUUUGAGAGAUCUGUAAGUUGGACAUAUAGAUUUUGGCAAAGGGAAUGGAUGCUUAUGAAGGGAAAUAUUGCAAUAUAUGCAUCAAGAAGCUUCGCUUAUAGUUGUUACAGAAUUUCCCCUCGCUUCUCAUCGUUGCAGAAUUUCCGCACGACUAUUCCAAGAGUUACGCCAUGCCUAUGUGUCAAGCAACACAAGCGUCGUAGUAACCGCAACGCCGAUAUACUCCGAUGCUUCUCCUUGAUCCUUGCACACAACUCAACAUUACAUAGCGGCGGCAACGUCAUUUUUUCCUUGAGGAAGAGCAAUAGCUGACGUGAGUCUGAAGAUGGCAUUGAUGUGUUUCUUCAUUUAUUUAUCAUUUUAUGUUAUUUAGUUUCUGGUUGCUCUGAUCUGUAACACUAGGAACAGGUCGUUAUCGUUGUUUGAGUAGAUUGUUUUGGAUUUGUUUAAAUUCAAUCAAGUACUAUAUUUUGAAAAGAAAAUUUAAAGUAUAUGUUUCUGUUGA
This is a long non-coding RNA of Lathyrus oleraceus (garden pea), 1181 nucleotides long. RefSeq lists it as uncharacterized. NCBI's taxonomy places the organism in Eukaryota, Viridiplantae, Streptophyta, Magnoliopsida, Fabales, Fabaceae. The record is from RefSeq and is a predicted model, not a curated record. The transcript is spliced from 2 exons.